UACGUAGGGUCCGAGCGUUGUCCGGAAUUAUUGGGCGUAAAGGGCUCGUAGGCGGUUUGUCGCGUCGGGAGUGAAAACUCGGGGCUCAACCCUGAGCGUGCUUCCGAUGCGGGCAGACUAGAGGUAUGCAGGGGAGAACGGAAUUCCUGGUGUAGCGGUGGAAUGCGCAGAUAUCAGGAGGAACACCGGUGGCGAAGGCGGUUCUCUGGGCAUGACCUGACGCUGAGGAGCGAAAGCAUGGGGAGCGAACAG
RNAcentral lists this ribosomal RNA (252 nucleotides) under uncultured prokaryote. Its description in RNAcentral is "partial 16S ribosomal RNA". It matches the Rfam family "Bacterial small subunit ribosomal RNA", at positions 524 to 775 of the family's 1533-position model. The record is from RNAcentral.